GGGGCUGAUCAGCUUCGACGUUGGGAUCUUUACCAGGUUAAAGCGCAGGUCGACUGGCCGCCGUAAGCGGGCAACAAGUUGUUAAAUGACAACUUAAUUUCGCGGGUCAAGGCUGCCUUCACGGCUCCUUCAUUCGCUCCUGUUUACGCCUAAUAACGUAGACUAUCGGCACCUGACUCCUGAUGGGGAUCCGCCGGUAUCAAAUCAUCAGGACGCUCUAGACGGCUUGUCUCAGCCGACUAGCUAAGAUUUGAGACUGCUUCACUCGUCAGUUUGUCUGGCAUGAUGAUGGGUGACUAAGAUCAAAACCAGACUAUAUCUGUAGUGCUUGACCAGUAACCUAACGGACCCGAGUGCAAUUCUCGGCAGCUCCACCA
RNAcentral lists this transfer-messenger RNA (377 nucleotides) under Patescibacteria group. RNAcentral describes it as "JACAFG01 sp019352195 Standard tmRNA". It matches the Rfam family "transfer-messenger RNA". Rfam says of the family: Bacterial tmRNA, also known as 10Sa RNA or SsrA, is named for its dual tRNA and mRNA-like properties. Its role is to liberate the mRNA from a stalled ribosome. RNAcentral also lists the same sequence under 1 other name. The record is from RNAcentral.